AUUGAACGCUGGCGGCAUGCUUUACACAUGCAAGUCGAACGGUAACAGGUUAAGCUGACGAGUGGCGAACGGGUGAGUAAUGCAUCGGAACGUGCCCGGUCGUGGGGGAUAACGCAGCGAAAGCCGCGCUAAUACCGCAUACGAUCUGAGGAUGAAAGCGGGGGACCGUAAGGCCUCGCGCGAUCGGAGCGGCCGAUGUCUGAUUAGGUAGUUGGUGGGGUAAAGGCUCACCAAGCCAACGAUCUGUAGCUGGUCUGAGAGGACGACCAGCCACACUGGGACUGAGACACGGCCCAGACUCCUACGGGAGGCAGCAGUGGGGAAUUUUGGACAAUGGGCGAAAGCCUGAUCCAGCAAUGCCGCGUGCAGGAAGAAGGCCUUCGGGUUGUAAACUGCUUUUGUACGGAGCGAAAAGGUCUCCUCUAAUACAGGGGGCUCAUGACGGUACCGUAAGAAUAAGCACCGGCUAACUACGUGCCAGCAGCCGCCGUAA
Molecule: ribosomal RNA, 493 nt
Filed under: uncultured bacterium
Lineage: Bacteria
Description: partial 16S ribosomal RNA
Rfam family: Bacterial small subunit ribosomal RNA
Source: RNAcentral